RNAcentral lists this ribosomal RNA (656 nucleotides) under uncultured Roseateles sp. Its description in RNAcentral is "bacterial SSU rRNA". It matches the Rfam family "Bacterial small subunit ribosomal RNA", at positions 104 to 756 of the family's 1533-position model. Lineage: Bacteria; Pseudomonadati; Pseudomonadota; Betaproteobacteria; Burkholderiales; Sphaerotilaceae. The record is from RNAcentral.
GGGUGAGUAAUGUAUCGGAACGUGCCCAGUCGUGGGGGAUAACUGCUCGAAAGAGCAGCUAAUACCGCAUACGACCUGAGGGUGAGAGCGGGGGAUCGCAAGACCUCGCGCGAUUGGAGCGGCCGAUAUCAGAUUAGGUAGUUGGUGAGGUAAAGGCUCACCAAGCCGACGAUCUGUAGCUGGUCUGAGAGGACGACCAGCCACACUGGGACUGAGACACGGCCCAGACUCCUACGGGAGGCAGCAGUGGGGAAUUUUGGACAAUGGGCGCAAGCCUGAUCCAGCCAUGCCGCGUGCGGGAAGAAGGCCUUCGGGUUGUAAACCGCUUUUGUCAGGGAAGAAAAGGUUCUGGCUAAUACCUGGGACUCAUGACGGUACCUGAAGAAUAAGCACCGGCUAACUACGUGCCAGCAGCCGCGGUAAUACGUAGGGUGCAAGCGUUAAUCGGAAUUACUGGGCGUAAAGCGUGCGCAGGCGGUUAUGCAAGACAGAGGUGAAAUCCCCGGGCUCAACCUGGGAACUGCCUUUGUGACUGCAUGGCUAGAGUACGGUAGAGGGGGAUGGAAUUCCGCGUGUAGCAGUGAAAUGCGUAGAUAUGCGGAGGAACACCGAUGGCGAAGGCAAUCCCCUGGACCUGUACUGACGCUCAUGCACGA